Haemonchus placei is the source of this 75-nucleotide non-coding RNA. The record is from Rfam. Lineage: Eukaryota; Metazoa; Nematoda; Chromadorea; Rhabditida; Trichostrongylidae.
GGCCAAAAUUCGAAGUAGAGUGGAUUACUACGAUCAGUUGAACCUACUAAACUACUCUACUUCAAGUUCCUGCCU